RNAcentral lists this ribosomal RNA (305 nucleotides) under uncultured bacterium. RNAcentral describes it as "bacterial SSU rRNA". It matches the Rfam family "Bacterial small subunit ribosomal RNA", at positions 333 to 656 of the family's 1533-position model. The record is from RNAcentral.
UGAAGCCUACGGGAGGCAGCAGUGGGGAAUAUUGCGCAAUGGGCGAAAGCCUGACGCAGCGACGCCGCGUGAGGGAAGACGGUCUUCGGAUUGUAAACCUCUGUCUUUGGGGAAGAAAAUGACGGUACCCAAAGAGGAAGCUCCGGCUAACUACGUGCCAGCAGCCGCGGUAAUACGUAGGGAGCGAGCGUUGUCCGGAAUUACUGGGUGUAAAGGGAGCGUAGGCGGGCGAGAAAGUUGAAUGUUAAAUCUACCGGCUUAACUGGUAGCUGCGUUCAAAACUUCUUGUCUUGAGUGAAGUAGAG